GAAUACAAAACAAUACAAUCAGCUUGUUCGAUGUUGGGUUUAUAGGAAGGAAGGAACUAUGUAACGUAAUCACGUUAUUAUUGUGAAGUCAAGUGAAUUCUGAAAACAAAAACAGCUGUAAUAAAUCAUAGAAAGAAACAAACAAAGAAACAGUGUCAGCAAUAAAACAAGGCACAGAGAAACUGCAAAAGUCAAUAAGGGCAACCUAUGCCUUUUGGCCCCCAUUCUCAUUCCGUUGCUAACAAAACUGCGCAAAGACUUUCUCAACAAAACCAAUACAAGACGGUUAUCUAAGUCUACUCUUUCAACCAUCCAUCCCCUAUUCCAUCUUCCUAUUCCUAUAUUAUCAAUCAAUAAAAUUUCACUCCUUAUACGUUCUUCUCCUUCUUCCCUUUAAUUUCUGCCUCUCUCUCGCUCUUUCCUUCCUUUAACAAUUAACUAGAGACGACCCAAUUGACUUCCAGAUCUUUUUCCAGGGAAAAGUUUUGAUUUUUGGAUCGUUUUGUGGUAAGAGUUAGAUGUUGACUGAUAGACGGAAAGUUUGAGGUGGGGCUGGAUUAUAUGGACAGUCUUUGUUGCUUCAGCUCUGUCAGCCAGGUGAGGAAUUCUGUCCCUUUGGAAUAUUUUCUUUUUCUUUUGGAAAUAAUCAAUCUCCAUAUGAGGAUGUGAGGAUGUCAUGUGGUGAAUUGCUGAUCGAGAGUUGAGAUUUAAGCUCUGCUGCUGUGCUAGAGAAUGGACUUGGGACUUUUCCAAAUUUUAUUUUCUUAAUCUUGAUGAGAAAGGUUCUGUGAAUUGAUUAUUUCUGUUCAAACAGUUGCCAAUAACCAGCUUUUCUGAAAGCUUAAGCUUUUGAUAGAGCCAUAAUAUUUUUUUCAUAUCUCUAACAUGUUCGUCCGUGCGAGAAUGUUUUGGACUUGACGACUACAGAAUGAAUGAGUUUGCUAUAUCUCAUACCGACAUUUAAUUAUAAAGAACAGUGGGGCCUUGGAGGAUUUUCCUAUAAUAGGAAUGCACUACAAGAAUGGAUGAAAUUGAUAAGUGACUGUGUUAUUUGUGAUAAAACAAUGGAGCUCAUCAGGCUUAAAAGGAGAUUUUCUAAAUAGCUACAAGACCAACUGUGUUUUAUGGUAUGUCUUAGAAAUUUGGUUUGGGUCUAAUUCAACACUACGAAAUUUACUUGUGAGGUGAGAGUUUUUUCUUACGUAUAUACUUUAAUUUGGUCAUUGAGUUAAUUGAUGUAGGAACUCCGUCUCACUUCCCUCAAUGAUAAUUGGAUAUUUCAAGUGUGAAGUUUGCAGAAUUGAACAUCUGUGGGUUGUCUAAUAAUAAUGACAUAAUAGCAAGUGACUUGAUCAGAUAAACUGGAAUCUUAGAAUUUGAAUUUUAGUCUAACUCAAUCAACAAAACCAGUUUGGUUUGGGCGAAGUAUCUUCCAUUAUAUACUGAAUUUGGUUAUACCAGGAGGCAAUGUGAUAUUUACAACAGUAUUGAUAGCUGGGUGGUGAAGUUCUAGCUAGAGCGCAAGUAUUCUGGAAAUAGAAUAUUUUGGUAGAUGAAUGUUCUAUCUAGAUAAAAUAGGAUUAGUAAUGGAUAUUUACAUAGGAAUACCACCUUU
Non-coding RNA from Vigna umbellata (rice bean), 1615 nucleotides. Lineage: Eukaryota; Viridiplantae; Streptophyta; Magnoliopsida; Fabales; Fabaceae. The record is from RefSeq and is a predicted model, not a curated record.